Molecule: ribosomal RNA, 261 nt
Filed under: Triticum aestivum (bread wheat)
Lineage: Eukaryota; Viridiplantae; Streptophyta; Magnoliopsida; Poales; Poaceae
Description: partial small subunit ribosomal RNA
Source: RNAcentral
AUGGCCAUAUCAUAUGGAAUAGGUGUCUCAAUUCAAAUUUACUACAAAAAUUAUUUUUAUUCUGAGUUUUAUUCUCAGAUUCUAUCUGAAGGGUUUGCGAUCAUUGUGGAAAUCCCAUUCUCGCUACGGGAGUUAUUUUGGCAGAAAGAAAAAGAAAUACCAAAGUUUCAGAAUUUACGCAAUUACUAUCUUGCUAGGUUUAGUUGUCAUAGCUGUUCGGAAUCCACAAACCAUCCCGACCGACGGUCAGAAUUUUUUUGA